RNAcentral lists this long non-coding RNA (847 nucleotides) under Neogobius melanostomus (round goby). RNAcentral describes it as "lncRNA (ENSNMLG00000009275.1)". Lineage: Eukaryota; Metazoa; Chordata; Actinopteri; Gobiiformes; Gobiidae. The record is from RNAcentral.
UCUGCCCGUGGAGUGAGACUUUGUGCACAUGUUGUGUGUCCUGGUUUUAUCCCGGUCCUGUUUCCUCCUUUGGCUCAGGUGAAGGAGCUCCUGUCUCAGAAGUUGUCAUCGUGGCUACUGUCCUGUUCCCAGCCGACCAAACUCCCGGAUCGCGCCCUCAACCUGCUGCGCUUCACUGCCCCCCAGAGCUCAGCAGAGGCACUGCGGCACAACAAACCUGGACAGGCUGAACAGAGGCUGUCAGUUCAGGAGGUCCCGCCUUUGCAGAACGGUGACUCCAGUCGUUCCCAGCAGCAGCGCCCUCUGCCCUCCAUCUCUCAGAGCGACCCCUCUCUGUCCCAGGACUCUCCCCAGUCGCCUCACUCCUCCUCAGAGUCUGGAGGGGCAACAGGGGGGUCGUCUGGUGGAGCUUCCCCUCCUCACUGCAGCACACCACUCUCUGAAGGUGUGGCAAGUCCGACUGCCUCUGCCCCCACCACAUCCAGCGGCCCGGGGCAGCAAGGCUCAGCGCUCCUCUCCACAAACACCUCCAACCUAUCGCCGAGCCUCAUCCCCUCCACAGUGAUGCCGCUUAGCCAACUCACUGCUGGCAGCAGCACAGCUCAGGGCAUGACCCUCCCCAUCAGCCAGAGCGCCCCCCACAGCCCGCCUCUGCCGCACAGCGCUCCUCUGUCCCGAUCCAUGACGCCUGUGCAGCUCCCACAAGAGGCCGGUCCUGGUGGAAGCCUCCUGCCCUCUCAUAAACCCUGGCUGGUGAAGGGCAUGGAGAUGUCCGCCACAGCCACGCUCCCACUGCCCAGACGACCCGGGGCGGACAACAGGCACAGCGGCUUUCCGGGCAAAGGUA